AACUGUUUUGCACCUGGGAAAACUUCAAGGUGGUUUUAGUUACACAUUAAACCGUAGAUAUUUGUUUUUCUCUGCAGGGCACUUAAGAACUGCACUGUAACAAAUGGCUGUAAAAACUAAAACAUGAAAAUACAGUAAGGUGGCUGGGUUUUGAAAAUACAGCUUUUUAUUGUGAUCUGAAAUGCGAAUGGAAAGUAUAUCGGACGUGACUGGACCGCUGGGUCGCGUGCGGAAAUGUACACCUGCACUGUAAAAUUUUAAUGUACAGUUGCAUUGUGGGAUUUUUACCUGCUGGAGGCGAACGUUCACAGGCUGGAGGGUGGGGCCAACAAUGACUUUCACCAGAAACAGCAUCAAGGGCACAAGCGGGUCCAGCAGCUCCUUUUUGACACUUAGAGUAUUGUUUCAUAGGCGAUUCAUAGGCCUCAACCCAGAAACAAGAACAAAAGCUUCAAACAGAAAAGUGACAUCAAAACCAACAGGACGACUUAUGCAAAACACAGCAGUGAACCCACAUGUCUCCAUUCUCCUCCUUCAUGAACCAGUGGAACUUUUGAAAUGGUAAAAUUACACAUUUACACACAAUCAGUUCUCUCAUUCCAUCUGUCUGUC
Long non-coding RNA from Xiphophorus maculatus (southern platyfish), 612 nucleotides. RefSeq lists it as uncharacterized. Lineage: Eukaryota; Metazoa; Chordata; Actinopteri; Cyprinodontiformes; Poeciliidae. The transcript has 3 exons. The record is from RefSeq and is a predicted model, not a curated record.